AUCCAACUGACCGGUCCCAAAUAGGAUGAAACGCGCGUCCUAGAU
Molecule: non-coding RNA, 45 nt
Organism: Schistosoma mattheei
Lineage: Eukaryota; Metazoa; Platyhelminthes; Trematoda; Strigeidida; Schistosomatidae
Source: Rfam